This 420-nucleotide ribosomal RNA is filed under the name uncultured eukaryote. Its description in RNAcentral is "eukaryotic LSU rRNA". It matches the Rfam family "Eukaryotic large subunit ribosomal RNA", at positions 973 to 1389 of the family's 3401-position model. The record is from RNAcentral.
UCAGGAUAGCUGGAACUUGUAGAAAUAGUUUUAUCAGGUAAAGCGAAUGAUUAGAAGCUCUGGGGAUGAAACAUCCUCGACUUAUUCUCAAACUUUAAAUAGGUAAGAUGAUUGCAGUACUUAAUUGACUGUCAGUCUCUUGAAUAGAAAGUUCUUAGUGGGCCAUUUUUGGUAAGCAGAACUGGCGAUGUGGGAUGAACCAAACGUAAAGUUAAAGUGCCUAAAAAUACGUUCAUCAGACACCACAAAAGGUGUUGAUUCAUCUUGACAGUUGGACAGUGGCCAUGGAAGUCGGAAUCUGCUAAGGAGUGUGUAACAACUCACCAACCGAAUGAAUUAGCCCUGAAAAUGGAUGGCGCUUAAACGUAUUACUUAUACUUUACCAUUAAGAUAAAUGCUAAAUCUUAAUGAGUAGGAGGG